AACGUACGCUGGCGGCACGCCUAACACAUGCAAGUCGAACGAAGUAGUAAUACUUAGUGGCAGACGGGUGAGUAACAUGUAGGUAUCUGCCCUUUGGCCUGGAAUAACACGAGGAAACUUGUGCUAAUACCGGAUAAGUCUUUACGGAGAAAGCUUUAUGCACCAUUGGAUGAGCCUGCACUUGAUUAGUUUGUUGGUGGGGUAAUGGCCUACCAAGACUGUGAUCAAUAGCUGAUUUGAGAGGAUGAUCAGCCACAUUGGGACUGAGACACGGCCCAAACUCCUACGGGAGGCAGCAGUGGGGAAUCUUGCACAAUGGAGGAAACUCUGAUGCAGCGAUGCCGCGUGAGUGAAGAAGGCCCUUGGGUUGUAAAGCUCUUUCGUCGGGGAAGAAAAUGACUGUACCCGAAUAAGAAGGUCCGGCUAACUUCGUGCCAGCAGCCGCGGUAAUACGAAGGGACCUAGCGUAGUUCGGAAUUACUGGGCUUAAAGAGUUCGUAGGUGGUUGAAAAAGUUAGUGGUGAAAUCCCAGAGCUUAACUCUGGAACUGCCAUUAAAACUUUUCAGCUAGAGUAUGAUAGAGGAAAGCAGAAUUUCUAGUGUAGAGGUGAAAUUCGUAGAUAUUAGAAAGAAUACCAAUUGCGAAGGCAGCUUUCUGGAUCAUUACUGACACUGAGGAACGAAAGCAUGGGUAGCGAAGAGGAUUAGAUACCCUCGUAGUCCAUGCCGUAAACGAUGUGUGUUAGACGUUGGAAAUUUAUUUUCAGUGUCGCAGGGAAACCGAUAAACACACCGCCUGGGGAGUACGACCGCAAGGUUAAAACUCAAAUGAAUUGACGGGGACCCGCACAAGUGGUGGAGCAUGUGGUUUAAUUCGAAGAUACGCGCAGAACCUUACCAACACUUGACAUGUUCGUCGCGACUCUAAGAGAUUAGAGUUUUCGGUUCGGCCGGACGAAACACAGGUGCUGCAUGGCUGUCGUCAGCUCGUGUCGUGAGAUGUUGGGUUAAGUCCCGCAACGAGCGCAACCCUCACUUUUAGUUGCCAUCAUUAAGUUGGGCACUCUGAAAGAACUGCCAGUGAUAAGCUGGAGGAAGGUGGGGAUGACGUCAAGUCCUCAUGGCCCUUACGUGUUGGGCUACACACGUGCUACAAUGGUAUCUACAACAGGAAGCAAGACUGCGAAGUUAAGCAAAUCCCUAAAAGAUACCUCAGUUCGGAUUGCACUCUGCAACUCGAGUGCAUGAAGCUGGAAUUACUAGUAAUCGUGGAUCAGCGUGCCACGGUGAAAUGCGUUCCCGGGUCU
This 1307-nucleotide ribosomal RNA is filed under the name uncultured bacterium. RNAcentral describes it as "bacterial SSU rRNA". It matches the Rfam family "Bacterial small subunit ribosomal RNA", at positions 28 to 1381 of the family's 1533-position model. The record is from RNAcentral.